Molecule: transfer RNA, 71 nt
Filed under: Marmota monax (woodchuck)
Lineage: Eukaryota; Metazoa; Chordata; Mammalia; Rodentia; Sciuridae
Description: tRNA.Ala
Rfam family: tRNA
About the family: Transfer RNA (tRNA) molecules are approximately 80 nucleotides in length. Their secondary structure includes four short double-helical elements and three loops (D, anti-codon, and T loops). Further hydrogen bonds mediate the characteristic L-shaped molecular structure. tRNAs have two regions of fundamental functional importance: the anti-codon, which is responsible for specific mRNA codon recognition, and the 3' end, to which the tRNAs corresponding amino acid is attached (by aminoacyl-tRNA synthetases). tRNAs cope with the degeneracy of the genetic code in two manners: having more than one tRNA (with a specific anti-codon) for a particular amino acid; and 'wobble' base-pairing, i.e. permitting non-standard base-pairing at the 3rd anti-codon position.
Source: RNAcentral
GGGGUUGUGGCUCAGUGGUAGAGUGUUUAGCUUGCACAUGUGAGGCACUGAGUUCAAUUCUCAGCACCACA